UAACGCGUGGGUAACCUGCCUCAUACAGGGGGAUAGCAGCUGGAAACGGCUGGUAAUACCGCAUAAGCGCACAGUGCUGCAUGGCACAGUGUGAAAAACUCCGGUGGUAUGAGAUGGACUCGCGUCUGAUUAGCUAGUUGGUGGGGUAACGGCCUACCAAGGCGACGAUCAGUAGCCGGCCUGAGAGGGUGAACGGCCACAUUGGGACUGAGACACGGCCCAA
This 223-nucleotide ribosomal RNA is filed under the name uncultured bacterium. RNAcentral describes it as "partial 16S ribosomal RNA". It matches the Rfam family "Bacterial small subunit ribosomal RNA", at positions 111 to 334 of the family's 1533-position model. The record is from RNAcentral.